Molecule: ribosomal RNA, 466 nt
Filed under: uncultured bacterium
Lineage: Bacteria
Description: partial 16S ribosomal RNA
Rfam family: Bacterial small subunit ribosomal RNA
Source: RNAcentral
GACGAACGCUGGCGGCGCGCCUAACACAUGCAAGUCGAACGAGCGAGCGAGAGCUUGCUUUCUCGAGCGAGUGGCGAACGGGUGAGUAACGCGUGAGGAACCUGCCUCAAAGAGGGGGACAACAGUUGGAAACGACUGCUAAUACCGCAUAAGCCCACGACCCGGCAUCGGGUAGAGGGAAAAGGAGCCAUCCGCUUUGAGAUGGCCUCGCGUCCGAUUAGCUAGUUGGUGAGGUAACGGCCCACCAAGGCGACGAUCGGUAGCCGGACUGAGAGGUUGAACCGCCACAUUGGGACUGAGACACGGCCCAGACUCCUACGGGAGGCAGCAGUGGGGAAUAUUGCACAAUGGGGGAAACCCUGAUGCAGCGACGCCGCGUGGAGGAAGAAGGUCUGCGGAUUGUAAACUCCUGUUGUUGAGGAAGAUAAUGACGGUACUCAACAAGGAAGUGACGGCUAACUACGUG